GAUGAACGCUGGCGGCGUGCCUAAUACAUGCAAGUCGAGCGAACAGACGAGGAGCUUGCUCCUCUGACGUUAGCGGCGGACGGGUGAGUAACACGUGGAUAACCUACCUAUAAGACUGGGAUAACUUCGGGAAACCGGAGCUAAUACCUGAUAACAUGUUGAACCGCAUGGUUCAACAGUGAAAGACGGUCUUUCUGUCACUUAUAGAUGGAUCCGCGCCGCAUUAGCUAGUUGGUAAGGUAACGGCUUACCCAGGCAACGAUGCGUAGCCGAGCUGAGAGGGUGAUCGGCCACACUGGAACUGAGACACGGUACAGACUCCUACGGGAGGCAGCAGUAGGGAAUCUUACGCAAUGGGCGAAAGCCUGACGGAGCAACGCCGCGUGAGUGAAGAAGGUCUUCGGAUCGUAAAACUCUGUUAUUAGGGAAGAACAAAUGUGUAAGUAACGAUGCACGUCUUGACGGUACCUAAUCAGAAAGCCACGGCUAACUACGUG
Molecule: ribosomal RNA, 497 nt
Filed under: uncultured bacterium
Lineage: Bacteria
Description: partial 16S ribosomal RNA
Rfam family: Bacterial small subunit ribosomal RNA
Source: RNAcentral